RNAcentral lists this ribosomal RNA (261 nucleotides) under uncultured archaeon. RNAcentral describes it as "partial 16S ribosomal RNA". It matches the Rfam family "Archaeal small subunit ribosomal RNA", at positions 748 to 1009 of the family's 1478-position model. The record is from RNAcentral.
CAGCCGUAAACUAUGCUCGCUAGGUGUCAGGCAUGGCGCGACCGUGUCUGGUGCCGCAGGGAAGCCGUGAAGCGAGCCACCUGGGAAGUACGGCCGCAAGGCUGAAACUUAAAGGAAUUGGCGGGGGAGCACAACGACGGGUGGAGCCUGCGGUUUAAUUGGACUCAACGCCGGACAACUCACCGGGGACGACAGCAAUAUGUAGGCCAGGCUGAAGACCUUGCCUGAAUCGCUGAGAGGAGGUGCAUGGCGUAGACGUCU